CAUGCCUGUAAUCCUAGCACUUUGGGGGACCAAGUCAGGCAGAUCACUUUAGGUCAGGAGUUCAACGCCAGCCUGGCCAACAUGGUGAAACCCGCUGUCUACUAAAAAUACAAAAAAGUUAGCUGAGUAUGGUGGCGGUCACCUGUAACCCAAGCUACUUGGGAGUCUGAAGCAGUAGAAUCGCUUAAACCCAGGAGGUGGAGGUUGCAGUGAGCCGAGUCACGCCACUGCACUCCAGCCUGGGUGACAGAGCAAGACUCCAUCUCAAAAAAAAAAAAAAAAAAAAGCAAAAAAGGAGUUAUGCCUUAAGGGUUUUAAUAUAGCAUUGUGCCACUUGGAGUAUGAUACAACAAACCAAGUAUAUUAGGCAUUCUUGAAUGCUAGAUGAAUGAUACCGUUUAGUGUAUAGAAAAACUGAUUCAGUGUACAGUUUAAAGAUUGAAAUUUUAGAAUAAAAAUUAAGAUCCACACUUCAUGAGAAAAUUUGACCACCACAUUGAAGUGAUAGUUUGCAUGUCUGGUUUUAGGUCCUUUGUAACAAACUCUACUUAAAAAAAAAAAAGAAAAGAAAAGAAAAGAAAAGAAAGAAAGGAAUUAGGGAGUGCUUAGUGAUAUUCUUCUUGGCUGAGUUAAAGCAGUUUACUAGACUCAGCUUGAUCUUUGCCUGUUACUGCUGUCUAGACGCCUUCCAUUCAUUGUAUUACGGAUUUGGUUCAAGAUGUCCAACUUCCUCUUUUCUCACAAUAGAGAAUGUAACAUAACAGACAUCUAUAAUUAGUUACUUAAAAAUACUUUCUGAGGAAGACAAUAUUAAGAACAGCCUGCCAUCAUAUCCACCUAUUUGCAGCCUAACUUCUCUUUUCCUUUUAAAGAAACCUCCCAAGAAGCUUGUCCUGAGCUCCUAGGACUACUCCUGAAGCACAUUCAUUGACUCCAGAGACUCAGGAUAGGAGGGCAGCCACCCCCACAAACACUCUCACUUCCGAGCUUCUUCUGGGUUAUGUCACUUUCCUUAGCUCCCCAUGGAAUGAGACAUUUAAAUUACAACAGCCCAUUCAGAGAAACACAACAGCUGCCAAUUUGACCUUCUCUCGGGAUUUGUGUUUGAAAGAGGGUCCUAGUUGUCUGGUUCACUCCAGAAAAUUACUACAGAUGAUGUAGUUGGGUCAUGUGACACAUGGUUAAAAAAAUAAACAACUCUCCUGUUGACAUAUGACCUACAACUAAGACAGAGGCUUUAGUCCAUAUGGUGAAAUAUUGGGCUCUGAGGAAAUGUCCAUAGCUUUGGUUUUCUUAGCAUGGAAAACCAAUUUGUAUUUUCAUAUUAGGCUUAAUCUCAACUGGGUGAGGCUUGUGGUAUCUCAAUAAAUCUGUACUAUGUAAAAGUUGCUUUCUGCUUGGCAAGAGCAAACUACAAAAACUUGAAAUGAGAGACUUUAAGAACCAUUAUGUAUGCACUCCCUGGCUGCUGGGUUGCUGACCUGGGGCUUUUUACCUGGUGGUCUGAUGAGUCAUGCCAUUCAAAAAAAGAGAAGACAGCAAAGAUAUUUGAAUGGUUAGCUAUACAGGCAAUUAAAAACCUGCUGGGUGGGCUCUUUCCCCGCGAGGCCAAGAUGCUGAUUUGGAAGAUAACAGUGGAUUCUUUCUCUGGUGCCUACUAAUAUUCUAGAAAUGGAGUACAUAGAGAAACUGAAGCCAGGCUCAGAAAAGACAGCCCACAGACUUAGUGUUCAAGUAAUUUACACUCUUGACAGGUCUCUAAGAGGUAACUUUUUCUUUUUAAAAAAUUUCAGCUAUAAUAUUGACUUGGAAGAACAAUCUGGACACAAGCAAGCUUGAUCAUAGUGCUGUAACACAACUCAGUGUCUUGUCUCUUAGACCAGCUCCUGAGUUCUCUCUCUUUCUCUCUCUCUCUUUAUGCUGAUGCUGUCGGCACUCACCAACAGCCAGGCUGGAGACCUUGGAAUCCUCACUGACUCACUUUCCUUACCAAGGCAUAAGAUGAGUCUAUUUUUCGAAUAUUUCUUGUCUCUUUAUCUCCUCCUUUUUGCCCCUCCCACCACAAAAGUUGAGAAUUUCAUCUUCUCACAAUGGGGGUAUAAAAAGUUCCUCAAAUUCUCUACAGUCUUCUUCUCCCUUUCGUUAUAUGCCCCCAGAAUGAUCGUUCUAAAAUGCAAGUCUAAGCACACUACAGCUUAAAAACCUUCAGUGACUCACCUUUACCUCAGGAACGAGGGCAGGUUUUUAAUAUGGCAUAAAAUUUGGAUUUACAAGUCAUCUGACCUAUCCUAAAUUCCUGCUCUGUGGGACCUAUCUCAUUCUACCAGAGGGUGUCAGAUUCUUAUCAGUUUCACACCAGGCCGGCCAGCCCUGUUCUUUGCCCGAAUUGCUCUUUACUUUCUUUACUUGCUGAUUCCUUUUCGUCUUCUGAUGGCUGUCUCAAUUGUUCUCUUCUCUGUUAGCCUUCCCUAACCUCCUCAGUGUUUUCUAACCCCCUCCUGGGAGCUCUCUAAUGUAUUGCUUCUAUUAGAGCACAUACCAUGGUACACUAUAGUUAUCUGUUGACUAGGGAGUGAUGUCCUCAGCCGUUGUCAGAUAUAUGGUAAAAAUCAGUGAAUGUUUGUUGAAUGACUAUAUACAAAGCAAGUUUCUUCCUAGAACAUGUUUUUGACCUGGUAGAAUUUUGUUUCUGGCCUUCUGAUUUCUCUGAGGUACAAAGUGCUUCAAAAGGAAGAGUUGUAGGACCUUUGAUUGACAACCUAAAAAGAACUGUGUAAGGAUAUGCCAGCACUUGAAUCUGAGGACAAUGGAAAAUAGAAAUCUGAUUGGAAUAAACUGGUCACAUGUGGAGGACAUGCUACCAUAUAAGUACAGGGAAAACAAAUUAGGGUGAUCCAUAGAAAGCAAAUCAGGGUUCUUGGAAAAAAAUAUUGAAAAUGGAGGUAGUAGUUCUGGCUGACCUAAAUGCAUAAUGUUUCAUUAAUUUUUUGCUGACAGAUCCUUUCUCUCUAACGUAGCUCUCUGUGUCUUCUUCUUACUAACUAUGUGAUCUUGAGGAACUCAGGCUAUGUCUCAGAUUUCUCAUAUUUAAAAAAGGAGGGAAAAUGCCUGCCCUGCCAACAUCAUAGGUUUGUUUUGAUUUCCAAAAUACAGGGAAUAUGUAAUAACAUAGUUUUGGCCUAUUCAUCACAUUUCUUUCUUUGUUUUUUCUUCAGUUUUUUGUUGUUUAUUACAGUUCCCUUUUUUUAUUAUUAUACUUUAAGUUCUGGGGUACAUGUGCAGAACGUGCAGGUUUGUUACAUAGGUAUACACGUCCCAUUGUGGUUUGCUGCACCCAUCAACCCGUCAUCUAUAUUAGGUAUUUUUCCUAAUGCUAUCCCUCCCCUAGCCCCCCACCCCCCAACAGGCCCUGGUGUGUGAUGUUCCCCUCCCUGUGUCCAUGUGUUCUCAUUGUUCAACUCCCACUUAUGAGUGUGAACACACAGUGUUUGGUUUUCUGUUCUUAUGUUAGUUUGCUGAGAAUGAUGGUUUCCAGCUUCAUCUAUGUCCCUAUUCAUCACAUUUCUAAUAGUAAAUGAAUGUAGAGAAGAAAUGCUGAUUUUGUGACUAUUUGUCAUGUAUUGACUAAUGUAACACUUUAGAAGAUAUAAUUAUAUUUAAAUUCAUCACUAAAUUAGCCAUUUUGUGUUUUCAAAGAAAGUUAAGAAUGACCUAAAAUGUUAACUGGGCAUGGUGGCUCAUGCCUGUAAUCCUAGCACUUUGGGAGGCUGAGGCAGUCGGACUGCUGAGUCUAAGAGUUUGAGACCAGCCUGGGCAACAUGGCAAAACCCUGUCUCUACAAAAAAUAUAAAAAUUAACUAGGGGUUGUGGUGUGCACCUGUAGUCCUAGUUACUUCUGGGGGUGAGGUGGGAGGAUCACGUGAACCUAGGAGGUCAGGGAUACAGUGGCCUGAUCACAGCUCACCGCAGCCUCAACAACCCUGACAGAGAGACCCUGUCUCAUUAAAAAAAAAAAAAGACCUAAAAUAUUGAGUGAAGGCUUUUCUCAUCAGAAUUCUGAAGCUAUUUUACUGUACUCGUCCAACUCAGAAAUGCAAUUAUGUAGGUAAUUAUAGUUUGUAUUUGGAGAUUAGAAUUCAUCCUAUGAGUAGUUUGCAUAUGCAUAUCAUACACAAAGUGCUGGAAUUAUAUUAUGACAUUUUAAAGUAAAAUAAAUGGUUGAACUAAAUGAAUUUGUUUAUACUGUCACCUGUUAGCGCUUGAUAUUGUAAAAAUGAAGAAGUUUGAGAAUGUGAUAUUAAUAUGCUUUUAAAACAACUUUAUAGAAUUUGAUAGCUAUUAUAAUUAUAAUUAUAAACAGUAUCAAGCCAAGUUAAUAGAUAAAUCUUUUGGAACUGCCUUUCUUUAUAAUAAGUAAAUAAAAAUAAUCAGUAAUUCACCUGCAAUAAUUUGCAUGAAACUGGGUACAAACCACUUUUUGCUGUGCGUUCCUCAUUUCAUAUUAGUGGUUGAGAAACGUUUCCUGGCUGAGUAGUUAACAUGUGAAUAAUGCUUAUCGAAUUAACGUAUUUGAAGUAUUAGAAAGUCUUAAGCUCUUUUUCCUGUCAUCGUAUUUAUAAUUUUCAUUUCCAUUAACCAGGUAAAUAAAGUUUGUUAAGUGAAGAUAAUCCUCCCUAUUCUUUUUCUAAUGAAAUAUCAAUGAGAAUUCCAUUUAAAAUCAUUUGUGGAAAGAGAUGUGAAUAGUUAGCACUAUAAAUAACGUUUUUGUCUAUUUUUAAAUAGGAUCUGAUGCCAUCAAAAGUCACAAGAACUGGCCGGGCAAGGUGGCUCACGCCUGUAAUCCCAGCACUUUGGGAGGUCAAGGCUGGCGGAUCACGAGGUCAGGAGAUUGAGACCAUCCUGGCUAACACAGUGAAACCACGUCUCUACUAAAAAUACAAAAAAUUAGCCAGGCAUGGUGGCGGUCGCCUGUAAUCCCAGCUACUCGGGAGGCUGAGGCAGGAGAAUGGCGUGAACCCGGGAGGCGGAACUUGCCGUGAGCCGAGAUCACGCCACUGCACUCCAGCCUGGGCGACAGAGUGAGACUCUGUCUCAAAAAAAAAAAGUCACGAGAACUGUCUGGAAAUGUGAGCAAUUUCAAGCGAGAGAUUAGUUGUUUUACAAAGUUCAUUAAAAUAUGCAUCAACCAUUCUUCAUCUCUUUGAAUAAAGGUAGGACACUAUGUAAUUUUAUGUAGAUUUCUUCCAGCUGAUAUUAAAUUUUGAAUGCAGAACUAAAUGAAUUUGUUUGUGUUGUCAGCUUUGGAUACCUGAUGUUAUAAAACUGCAGUUCUAAUUGGAAAUGUGAUUCUGAUAUACUCCCUUUAGGAGUUUGACUGUUUUACUUACUUUAUGAAGCAAGAAAUAAUAAUAAAAUUUUAGCUCUCAUAAUCAAGAGCCAUUUGAAUACUCAUAAAUUAAAAAUAUUUAGAUGUCAAGACAGUAAAGCCUAUGACAUGAAAAGGACCAGAUAACUAGUUAAAUGAAUUUCCAUGGGUCAAGUUGCACAAGUAACAUAGUCUAGAAGUGUGGAUUAAUUUUCACUCCGAUAACGCGUUAUCUUGCUUAAAUGUGAUUAAAAAUCCCCACUGGGUUCUAUGUUAAUCUUUCCUCCAAAGAUUUGGAUCUUAUCAAGUUUGGGAGCUACUUUGGAAGUAGAGAGUGCUCUCCAAAAGAACUCUCAAGAGGCAGUAUCAGUUUUUACAAUCUACUCUGGGGUAAUGAGAGAGUGGUUGAGUUUACAUAGAUUAUCACUUAUGGCUGCCUCCCUGGCUUGACAUUGUACAGGGGGAGAGCUCAAAGCUCAGUGAGGCUCAGACGAGGUCAGACACAGAGAAAUUUGGAGACCAUUUUUAGUGAUUUGACUUAAGAUGCUUUAGGUUUUGUUUUGUUUGUAUUAUCUUCUUUUAAUGCCUCAAAAAUUUCCCUCUCUAUAACGAGCCUUUGCUCUAAAAAAUUCCCUAUGUAAUUUAUUUAGCAAACAUGCAUUGAGUGUCUGUCAUGUGCCAAUUACUAUGCUGGGGGCUGGGGAUGUAGCAGUGAAUGAGGACAAUGAAAUGCUUGCCCUUCUAGGACUGACAGUGGCGAAGAGGUUAGCAUUAACUAGACAAUACACAAGAGCAAUAAGGGCCCUGAAAAUAUCUUUCUUCCUUAAAUACUGUCUUUCACUCCAUUCUUCUCUUAUGGGACUUAAAGGAUAUGUUCAAGUUCUCCUGUUACUUUAUAUUUGAAUACAAUGAACAUUCAUUUAUUGAUUCAUUUACUCUCUUCUUUCAAUAAGUAUAAAUUGACUAAGUCAUCUUUCUAACAAUUGAAUAAUAGUAAGAUUCAUUAGUCCUGCCCUCAAGCAUCCUAUGGCCUAGGGUGGGAGAUAAUAUAUGUAUAUACAUCAUGAUGAUUUUGCCACUCCAUACAGUUAUGAAAAUACAGAUAAAAGGUUAUUUCCAAUUAACAGAGUCAGGAAAGCCUCCCUGGAUGAAGAAGCUGUAAACUGGGCCUUAUGAUUAGAGCGGUUAUAUGCAUAUGGCAAAAGGAGAGAAGCUAUUCCAGGUAAAAGCCACAAAAAUAAAGGCAGAAAGUUGGGAAUUCAGAAUCAACAAAGGAGCAGCAACCAUUCAGUCUGGCUGACUUCUCAUCUCAUUUUUGAUAGAGUGGGUUAGGGAUGAGGUAGAGGUAUGGAAAGAAAAGAGGAUAGUUAUAAGUGACUAAUAAAUGUUUGUUGCCAAGGACCACCACAGAAUCCUCAUUAUUUGGAAGCUCCUUUAUGGAAUAUGCUUUGAAAUUUAGGGUGUUCUACAACUACCCCACCACACAGGGCUAGUCCUGUAAGUUUCAAUUAUCUGAAGUUAUUCUAGUUACACAGGAAUGCACAAUAUUAAAAUUAACAGAUAUUGAGGCCAAAUAAUCAACAAUAGCUGGAAGCAUGUACCUUGGAAAGAUAUGUCCUCAUUUUGAAAUUGAAUCCCAGACAAAACUCCUGGAAUUUCAGGUUUGGUUACAAAUAUUGAACUUGUAUGAAGUUCACCGAAGUUCAUUUCCAUGGAGCCUGGAGUGAGUUAGGCAUAAAUCAUAACCAGCCGAGGUGGAAGCCCAUAUGCAUACAUUCAUAGGUACAGACAGACAAACCCCAGUCCUUCAUAGCUUCAGAUGGAAACCAUAUGAAAUGUCAUGGCCUUGCACAGCUUCAGCCAGAAGCCUGGGCAGCUCUGUGCCUUCCGCUGGGGCUCUCUCAGUGGUUUUAUUUCCGAUUGAUCCUGAGUGUAUAGCAGGGUGCCCAACCUGCCCAUGGAAACUAAGAAGCUUGAGGAAAUAGCUGGGUCGAAACUAUGAAACUGUGCUCACUGUUCAAACCUAUGUUCUGUAAAAUUUACAACAGAUUCAGUCACCUCACAUUUCCAUGUAAAUUACUGCUCGAGAGGGAAGCUUGUCUUGCUGGGGCUUCCACUGUUGAAUUUUUAAAAUUGACAACACCUUCUGUUCCUAGCUGGAAUUAUGAGACAAAGAAAAAAGAGAACGAGAGGGAGAAAAUGUUCUAUCUUACUUCAACAGGCUCCGUUUUAUUGCAGGUAAUCUAUUAUGUUAGCAUUUUGAUUUACCUGUAAAAUACAUACAUUUAUCACAGUUUCUAAUUGUUUUGUGAAUGGUAUUUAGCUUAUAAAAGAAUAAAAGCUGUGACUAGCAAUGCUUUUGCUACACUUUCCUGGUUUAGUAAAUCUUAAGAAAAGUUCAGCAUUGCCUCCACUGGGACUUUUCUUCUUUAUGGAAACCAAAGGUGCAAACUUUAGAAAUAAAUAGAUGCUGAAGAGCGUCUAAUAUGAAUGUGCUUGAAUAAUUUACAUGAUGCUUUGGUGUUUUGUUGAAGAACAUUAGACAGAAAGACUUGUGUAAUAUGGCCUAAUGUGUAUUUAUUACAUGAACUUAAAA
RNAcentral lists this long non-coding RNA (7961 nucleotides) under Homo sapiens (human). RNAcentral describes it as "long non-coding RNA NONHSAT204392.1". Lineage: Eukaryota; Metazoa; Chordata; Mammalia; Primates; Hominidae. The record is from RNAcentral.